GCAAGUCGAGCGGUAAGGCCCUUCGGGGUACACGAGCGGCGAACGGGUGAGUAACACGUGAGCAACCUGCCCCUGACUCCGGGAUAAGCGGUGGAAACGCCGUCUAAUACCGGAUACGACUCUCCGGCUCAUGCUGGAGGGUGGAAAGUUUUUUCGGUCGGGGAUGGGCUCGCGGCCUAUCAGCUUGUUGGUGGGGUAAUGGCCCACCAAGGCGAUUACGGGUAGCCGGCCUGAGAGGGUGACCGGCCACACUGGGACUGAGACACGGCCCAGACUCCUGCGGGAGGCAGCAGUGGGGAAUCUUGCGCAAUGGGCGAAAGCCUGACGCAGCGACGCCGCGUGGGGGAUGACGGCCUUCGGGUUGUAAACUCCUUUUACCACUCACGCAGGCUCCCAGUUCUCUGGGGGUUGACGGUAAGUGGGGAAUAAGGACCGGCUAACUACGUGCCAGCAGCCGCGGUAAUACGUAGGGUCCGAGCGUUGUCCGGAAUUAUUGGGCGUAAAGAGCUCGUAGGCGGCAUGUCACGUCUGCUGUGAAAGACCGGGGCUUAACUUCGGUUUUGCAGUGGAUACGGGCAUGCUAGAGGUAGGUAGGGGAGACUGGAAUUCCUGGUGUAGCGGUGGAAUGCGCAGAUAUCAGGAGGAACACCGGUGGCGAAGGCGGGUCUCUGGGCCUUACCUGACGCUGAGGAGCGAAAGCAUGGGUAGCGAACAGGAUUAGAUACCCUGGUAGUCCAUGCCGUAAACGAUGGGCGCUAGGUGUGGGGACUUUCCACGGUUUCCGCGCCGUAGCUAACGCA
Molecule: ribosomal RNA, 800 nt
Filed under: Nocardiopsis sp. JSM 075017
Lineage: Bacteria; Bacillati; Actinomycetota; Actinomycetes; Streptosporangiales; Nocardiopsidaceae
Description: bacterial SSU rRNA
Rfam family: Bacterial small subunit ribosomal RNA
Source: RNAcentral